GAGAAAAAUGAGUUUUACCUGAGUUUUGGUUGAAACUUUUGAUAGAGAAAAUCUUCGGAAAACUUGAAUGUUCUUUGACGAAUCUUUGAUUUUCUCUGGACCGAAAAUAAAUCGGUUUACCGGUUCUGUUUCUUCAUCUUCUCCGAUUCUUUCUCUACUUCUCUCUCUGUGAUUACGUGCUUGAGCUUGCUUCUUGCUUCUUAGAUCUGCGUGAGAGAAUUCCUGUGAUCAGUGCUUGAGCUUGCUUCAAUGUGAGCU
This 258-nucleotide long non-coding RNA is filed under the name Medicago truncatula (barrel medic). RNAcentral describes it as "lncRNA gene50711". The record is from RNAcentral. Lineage: Eukaryota; Viridiplantae; Streptophyta; Magnoliopsida; Fabales; Fabaceae.